AUUGAACGCUGGCGGCAUGCUUUACACAUGCAAGUCGAACGGCAGCGCGGGCUUCGGCCUGGCGGCGAGUGGCGAACGGGUGAGUAAUACAUCGGAACGUGCCCAGUAGUGGGGGAUAGCUCGGCGAAAGCCGGAUUCAUACCGCAUACGACCUGAGGGCGAAAGCGGGGGAUCUUCGGACCUCGCGCCCUUGCAGCGGCCGAUGGCGGAUUAGCUAGUUGGUGGGGUAAAGGCCUACCAAGGCGACGAUCUGUAGCUGGUCUGAGAGGACGACCAGCCACACUGGAACUGAGACACGGCCCAGACUCCUACGGGAGGCAGCAGUGGGGAAUUUUGGACAAUGGGCGAAAGCCUGAUCCAGCAAUGCCGCGUGUGUGAUGAAGGCCUUCGGGUUGUAAAGCACUUUUGGCGGGAACGAAAAGGACUGUGCCAAUACCACGGUUCGAUGACGGUACCCGCAGAAUAAGCACCGGCUAACUACGUG
This 484-nucleotide ribosomal RNA is filed under the name uncultured bacterium. Its description in RNAcentral is "partial 16S ribosomal RNA". It matches the Rfam family "Bacterial small subunit ribosomal RNA", at positions 29 to 507 of the family's 1533-position model. The record is from RNAcentral.